Molecule: long non-coding RNA, 500 nt
Organism: Trifolium pratense (red clover)
Lineage: Eukaryota; Viridiplantae; Streptophyta; Magnoliopsida; Fabales; Fabaceae
Exons: 2
Source: RefSeq, a predicted model, not a curated record
UAAAUCAUGGUGACAUUUCAAAUUGCAAAGUGGUAUUGAAGGGGUACAUUCAACUCAUGGUGACUUUUCAAAUUGAUUAAUGGUUGGAAUAUUAUUUCAAAAGUUUAAUUUCAAUGGCUCUAUAAAUACUAAUUAAAUAGCAAUACAUAUAGCAUUGAGAUGUAUCAAUGUAUCAUAACCACUUAUAUACAUCCUUAGGAGACAAAAUAAAAGUCAGAAAUAAUGGAGAAUAAAAUGCUUUUCAGCUUGUACUACUUUCUUAUUGUUUUCUUAGUUGCUCAAGAAGCAAGGGUGCAGAUUGAGGCAGCAUGUGACAUAAUAUUGCUUAGAUACAAAUAUGCACCAUGCAUUGAUUUCAUUGACAGCCUUUAUUGUCGCCGUGAAUGUGUUAGGGCGAAUAGACUAUUAAAGGAUGGUUGCUGCAUAAAUGGUAAAUGCACGUGUUAUGGUAAAUGCAUGUGACUAAAUGGCUUGAUUUUGUAUCCAAUAAGUAAACAAAA